AGAUCCGAAUGAGAAGGGAAAAAUGUUAUCAAAGGCAAAGUGCAAAUACUGUAAGAAGAUGUAUGCUUACAUACAAGGGUGCACAUGAUGGAACCCGUAGAUAUGUGGAAGAAGAUGAGGAGGAUGACAUCGAGAAUAUUUCAUUUCCAAAAAGCUUUGUAGAGAGUAACUAGUAAGAUGUGAUUUUCAUCUGUUAUUACAAUAGUGUUACGAAAUACUAAUUUUUAUGUCUAUUCUCUAUUGCA
Long non-coding RNA from Panicum virgatum (switchgrass), 245 nucleotides. RefSeq lists it as uncharacterized. Lineage: Eukaryota; Viridiplantae; Streptophyta; Magnoliopsida; Poales; Poaceae. The transcript has 3 exons. The record is from RefSeq and is a predicted model, not a curated record.